AGCGCAGGCGGUUUCUUAAGUCUGGUGUGAAAGCCUUCGGCUCAACCGAAGAAGUGCAUCGGAAACUGGGAAACUUGAGUGCAGAAGAGGACAGUGGAACUCCAUGUGUAGCGGUGAAAUGCGUAGAUAUAUGGAAGAACACCAGUGGCGAAGGCGGCUGUCUGGUCUGUAACUGACGCUGAGGCUCGAAAGCAUGGGUAGCAAACA
Molecule: ribosomal RNA, 207 nt
Filed under: uncultured bacterium
Lineage: Bacteria
Description: partial 16S ribosomal RNA
Rfam family: Bacterial small subunit ribosomal RNA
Source: RNAcentral